GAACACCUUAGAGACGGCCUGUUUAGCAGAAUUCCCCCUGAAGGGAAAGGAAAUAUGAAAUUUGACAACAACAAGGAAGCAAAUGGCAAUUAUUAAACAACACCAUAACAGGGAAGAAAGAAUGAAGUAUAGAAACAAAGAUGCAUCUACUGUAUAUAAAACCAAAUACGUAACAACAAUAUUACUUGCUGCAAGAUCUGAAUUAGCAAAGAUCUAAAAUGACAGCAGUUGAAAUGAAGUAGCUAAGGUCAGUGGUAGAUAAAACAAAAAGGGACGGGCAAGAAAGAAAAGGAUCUGUGAAGAACUGGAAAUGCAGACAACCAUGGAAACUAUAAAAACGAAACAGCUACAACAGUAUGGACAUGAAAUAAGAAAAAAGAAAUGAAACAAGGAGACCAAAAAACGUGUUGGAAAUGAAGUGCAUCGAAAAAAGACCAAAGGGGAAGAAAACAUGAAAGAUGAAAUCAGAAAGAGGGGUAAAACCAUGGAAUAAAUGAAGAUCCUGGCAAAAGACAGAAUUAAAUAUAAUCGAUGGCUCAACACCCCAACACUGCAAUGUAUAUGUGAUGGCCAGCCACAGCCAUGGUGACCUCCCUUUAUUUGGAGUCUCAAUAGUCAUGACCUGAGGACUAACCAGGAACGGAAGAUUGACAGCCACUCCACCUCUGAUAUCAUUUUUCACUUUCCGCUCUCCUGGACCCGCCCUUUUCUGCUAACUGAACAUAUAUAUCUGGAAAAGGCCUUCUCAUUCCAGUUCACUUCUGAGCUCCCACCUGAAAAUGACCUACACCACAGCUUGUUGCAUGCUUUAUUAUUUUCAACUUUUUCAAUUAUACGAGAUCACCUAGGAGGUGGCCCAGCUCUUAUCCUGAUGUGGCACUGCUGUACUGCCAAGCUGUUCCCCUGCCCAUGAAAGUGUCACCCUAGAUAAAGAAGCACUGGAUUCAUCAUAUGGAAAGACUCUCUCAUUAGACUGGA
Molecule: long non-coding RNA, 978 nt
Organism: Polypterus senegalus (gray bichir)
Lineage: Eukaryota; Metazoa; Chordata; Cladistia; Polypteriformes; Polypteridae
Exons: 3
Source: RefSeq, a predicted model, not a curated record